GGCUUGGGUCGUGGGCUUUUGAAAUCUUGCGUGAAAGUGUGUGUGCAGCCCGGACAGAUGCAUUUUGUCUCUAACCCUAAUUCUAAAGACGCAGAGCCAUGGAGUUCUGAUCCCCUUUUUGUUCUACGGCGCAGUGACGCCUGAGCUUCAUCUCGGCCUCUGAAACGGUCCCAUUUAUGUUUGUUUCGUGUUUAAAUGGACGUUGAUCGAGCGAUUCUCUCUCUCAAAACUCAGAGACGCAAGCUUGGCCAAUACCAACAGCAGGUUUUCGAUUCGAUCCAAUGUGAUGGCUAUCGAGGAAAUGUUCAAGCACAGGGUGACAAAUGUGGUUCUGAAUGGGGAUGGGUGAGCCGAUGUUGAACCUAAAGUCAGUACUACUUGAUGCUCAUCGUUGUUUGAAUAAGUUUUCAGGUUAUGUGGUCCAUCCAAACCGGGAGAAAAAUGUACCAAAUGCCAAGUCUUAUCCGCUGGAAGCAGUUGUGAAGGAUUGUCGUGGAGUAACAACCAGACGAAUCUCCUUCGAGUAUGCUCUUCUAGGUUUGAUACCUUAUAACCCGAUACAUGGCCGUGCCAACAUUAAGUGCUGCCCGAAGCUAGAAAAAAAAACAAUUUAAAAACUGUCAACGGUACAGAAAGCUAUUGUAGUUUAGUGUGCAAAAACAGAUAUUUCUUUAUAACAUUUUUUAGUAAUUAACUAUUUGUAUAUUAAGUUUGUUACAUAAAUACAUAUAAAUUAAAAUAAAGAAUAUUUUUUAUUAAA
Molecule: long non-coding RNA, 760 nt
Organism: Brassica napus (rape)
Lineage: Eukaryota; Viridiplantae; Streptophyta; Magnoliopsida; Brassicales; Brassicaceae
Exons: 3
Source: RefSeq, a predicted model, not a curated record